This 75-nucleotide transfer RNA is filed under the name Pseudoselenomonas caprae. RNAcentral's name for it is "Selenomonas sp. mPRGC8 tRNA-OTHER". Lineage: Bacteria; Bacillati; Bacillota; Negativicutes; Selenomonadales; Selenomonadaceae. The record is from RNAcentral.
GCAAACAGCAAUCUUGUUUGACUCGAAAUCAAGUGUGGUUAAUAGCCACCGUGGGUUCGAAUCCCACCCUCUGCC